This 675-nucleotide ribosomal RNA is filed under the name uncultured bacterium. RNAcentral describes it as "partial 16S ribosomal RNA". It matches the Rfam family "Bacterial small subunit ribosomal RNA", at positions 58 to 752 of the family's 1533-position model. The record is from RNAcentral.
CAAGUCGAACGGGUGCUUGGGGAAACUUGAGCGCUAGUGGCAAACGGGUGCGUAACACGUGGGUGACCUACCUCAAAGUGGGGAAUAACGGUCCGAAAGGAUCGCUAAUACCGCAUGUUCUCGAUGAUUCAUUUUAUCGAGUAAAACCGCAAGGUGCUUUGAGAGGGGCCCGCGUCCCAUCAGGUAGUUGGUGAGGUAAUGGCCCACCAAGCCAAUGACGGGUAGCUGGUCUGAGAGGACGACCAGCCACAAUGGAACUGAGAUACGGUCCAUACUCCUACGGGAGGCAGCAGUGAGGAAUAUUGCACAAUGGACGAAAGUCUGAUGCAGCGACGCCGCGUGGGUGAUGAAGGCCCUCGGGUCGUAAAACCCUUUUGGCAGGGACGAGUGAGGACGGUACCUGCAGAAUAAGUCUCGGCUAACUACGUGCCAGCAGCCGCGGUAAAACGUAGGAGGCGAGCGUUAUCCGGAUUUACUGGGCGUAAAGCGCGCGUAGGCGGUCGGGUAAGUCAGAUGUUAAAGCCCCUGGCUCAACUGGGGGAGGUCAUUUGAUACUGCUCGGCUUGAGGGUGAGAGAGGAGAGCGGAAUUCCCGGUGUAGCGGUGGAAUGCGUAGAGAUCGGGAGGAACACCAGUGGCGAAAGCGGCUCUCUGGCUCAUCUCUGACGCUGAGUGC